Molecule: ribosomal RNA, 269 nt
Filed under: uncultured bacterium
Lineage: Bacteria
Description: partial 16S ribosomal RNA
Rfam family: Bacterial small subunit ribosomal RNA
Source: RNAcentral
GUCCACGCUGUAAACGAUGACGACUAGGUGUGGGGUGGUUCAGUCCAUUCCGUGCCGCAGCUAACGCAUUAAGUCGUCCGCCUGGGGAGUACGGCCGCAAGGUUGAAACUCAAAGGAAUUGACGGGGGCCCGCACAAGCGGUGGAGCAUGUGGUUCAAUUCGAUGCAGAGCGAAGAACCUUACCUGGGCUUGACAUGUAGGAAGUAGAAACCCGAAAGGGGGACGACCUGUUAAGUCAGGAGCCUACACAGGUGGUGCAUGGCUGUCGU